CACCCAGACAAAACAGUGAGAACACCAUCAAAGCACAAUUUCUUCAUCAGUCUUCUUCAACUCCUAACCCCAAAAUUUCUUCAACCAUCGGAACCCUAACUCGCUCUCUCCAACUUAUUUGCGACCCCCUCGUACUCCACCGCACUCCGACACAAUUCCUGCUUUGUAGGUAGCCUCUACAAAGAACCGAAGAAUUAGUUAGUGAGGAGAGGAAGAUGAAUGAGAGGAAGUAGUUAGCAAUCGUCUCCUUCUCAUGGACGAGAGCUUAAUCGCAGUCCCCUUGCCUCGUCACGUUUCUGUUCCAGAAGACUGAGAUUAGCCUCUCGGAUUUCCCAUACGGCGUGCCGUUUCUGGUUUGAGAUAUCGCUCGGGUCUUCGAUUCGAUCAAUAUGAGUGAUGCGGAUUGGGAGUUCAUUGCUGAGGAGGACGAACGAUGUGUGUGGCUCUUAUGAUGGAAUGGCCUGAUGUUCAUUACAGGACUUUGGCCCGCCUCAUAUCCAAGCAUGCUUGGCUCUACUCUAAGAUGCUUGCUGCCGAAACCAUUGUUUAUCAGAAGGACAAUAUGUUUUGGAUGUCCCAGCCAAGAGUAGCUGGACAUAGGUGCUUUGGUUCUCGUCCUAUGCUGGAUCCAAAGAUCGGAAAGAGACAUGUGUCUAACUGUGUAACAUAGACCAGAUGUCCUCAUGAGUGCUUAGUUUGAAGGAGAAAGCCCUGAUUGAUUUUGCAGAUUAUCCUGAUAAUGUUCACUUAAUGCAAAUGCAAUGGCAGGCUACUAUAGGACCAUGUAACACACCAGAGCCGAAUGCUUGGAAUGCAGUAGAGAAAAGCAAAUGGAGCAGGAAGAAGAUCCAGGUUCGUAUUCAAGAGCAUCAAACUCUGUUUCUGAGCCUGUGAUAGAUGUACAACUAAUUAAUUUCAUUCAAGCUAUGUGGACUCAUGGCUGACAAAAUGGGGGACAUGCUGCCCCGUGUGUAAGCAUGAUAUGAGAACAAAAUAUGUGAAUCCUGAGCUCGUUCAUGACGCUCCACUAGGGCAUGCUAAUAUGCGCGUUUCUAUCUAUGCCGCACUUGAGGAGAAAGCAAAAGUGUCAUUUUCAGUGAAAGACGAAAUUGAAACAGUGAAGCAGGCUUUGGGGAGUUGGGUAGCAUGGCCUAAACACUUGGUCAUAAAAUCACAUGUCAAGGUUAGAACUCAGUAUAAUUCUGUCACGCCCCUGAUUUUCCACACAGUAAAAUCGAUAUAUAUAAUCUCAUAAUUAUACAUGCGUGAACGUUCAGUCAUCAAUACAAAAUACCUGGAAACUUUUUCUCCUUUUAACUACACACAUAUUGAUGCCCUGAACCUACUAUGUCAAUAUUGACCCGCUCCGUAGAGUCAUAUAUUACAUAAGCUUAGGAAUUAAAUUGCCAACACAAUAUAAAACGUAACUGCUCCUCAGAGUUUACUACACAACGGAAGUCAUAAAAAUGGAAAAGCCAACCAAAUAUGCUUCCUACCCGUUCUGCUGCCAACAAGCCACCUCAGCUUCAGCCACGAUCACCCUGACCUGCAAGAUUAACCCUACACAAUUCCAUUGAAUAGUGCACCGGGUUGCCACACAACAAACCCGGUAAGCUUAUGAAGCUCGUAUGAGUAAACUCAAAACCACAAAGCAAAACACAUUUCUUAAGUCACCUCAAUCUAAACACGAUAUACACAAAGCUCACACCUGCGGCCAUCAAUUCCAUAAUCUUCCAUAUCGUGCCUACAUAAGUCAACUGGUGACUACAGCCACAUGCUUAGAUUCUCAACUAGCGUUCCAUUACACAAAUUCAAUCAAACAAGACUUCCUCAAUAAAUGUUUGAUGCCAUUCUAACGCCCUACGGCGAAUCCCAAACCACGCUCAUUCCCUCCCCACUAGGAGCUUUUGUCAUCAAUAUGACAUCAAAGGUGAAAACAAUAAAUCACCUUCCUAUCCUCACACAGAGUACAAUCGUCAUCACUAUGACCUUAAAGAUCAAUCAAAACCAUUCAUAGUAACCCCUGCGUGCAAUUUAGUUCAGGAAGUCACAGCAAAACAAGCAAAACAAUUCAGAGUAACCCCUGCGUGCAAUUUAGUUCAGGAAGUCACAACAAAACAAACAAAACAAUUCAUAGUAACCCCUGCGUGCAAUUUAGUUCAGGAAGUCACAGCAAAACAAGCAAAACAAUUCAUAGUAACCCCUGCGUGCAAUUUAGUUCAGGAGGUCACAUUAAUACAAACAAUUCAAGUCAAAGUAGUCAUCGAAAUUCCACACUCUGACGUCUGUAGGUAGCCCCGACCAUCACAGCAGUCAUCUCGAUUAUUGUUAACUUAAUAACAAUCCAGCUCUGCUACCGAGUUGUCAUCACACUGAUCAUCACAUAGAUUUCACCGAUCAUCACAUAGAUAGCCAUCAUCCUACUGAUCAUCACACAGAUAUCACCAGUCAUCACACAGAUAGCGAUCAUCCAACUAAUCAUCACACAGAUAUCGCCGGUCAUCACACAGAUAGCGAUCAUCACGCAUAUUCAUCACACAGAUAUCGUCGGUCAUCACACAGAUAGCGAUCAUCACAUAGAUUCAUUGUUAGUCAUCACACAGAUAGCAAUCAUCACACAAUUAUCCCUACACAAGCUACACAGAUAAUUCUACACAAUCUUUACAUGACAAUCAUCACAAAGAUUCAUCAUACUGAUGUCAUCAAUUCAUCACACAGAUAUUCCUACACAAGCUUCACAUGGCAAUCAUCACAAAGAUUCAUCACACUGAUUUCAACGAUUCAUAACACAAAUAUUCCUACACAAGCUUCACAUGGAAAUCAUCACAAAGAUUCAUCACGAAGUCACUAAUACAUGAAUACAUAUGUAUAUAUAUAUAUAUAUAUAUAUAUACCCCAUAAUAUAUAUAUACACACACAUAGUCAUCCACUCAGAAAUGCCACUAAUAUCAUCUAUAGUCACAGUUAAUCCCAUAACUCCAAGACAAUAUGGUAACUAGGCUCGUAACACAUAUCGCGAGAUUUACUCACCUCGAAACUCCCGCUGCGUCUUCAAUACAGAACAAAGCAGCCAAUCACAAUAGCCGUCCAAAGAAUACUUCGUCAAGUACCUAAGGAAACACAACUCUGAUUCAGUUACCAAAUCACAAGGAAUAACGUUCGAAACCUUAAAUCGAACCAAAAUUCCCGAGGUGACGCCAAUCGAGGCGAAACCACAUCCGAGACCUCCCAAAGUCUCCGAAACACUUCCACGAUCGAUGUGUCCUAGCCACAAGUCGAUCCGAUGCUUAAAUCCUCAAGGAUUUGAAUAAAUUCACCGAUAUGAAACGGUGAAAAUCAUAACAAAUCCAUACGAACUCCAAAAUCUGCAUAUUAUAUAUCAAAACGCUCGUAUCGACGAGUAGAAAACAUAUAAUACCGAAACAAUCCCAUACAUGGCCGGAACAUCGCCGGAACGCUGCCACAGACGGAGGCGCACCGCCGCCAGCCAAAACUCAUUAUUUCACAAAACUCCCAACAUCAAAAAGCUUCAUCUAAGCAUGCUUGUGAAAUCUCAUAACUAGCUCGGAGUCAGAAAACAACCAUAAGGGAUCGAAAACUACCUCACAAGCCGUGAACAGUAAUCCAAUCCGAGUUGACCCAACUUUUACGUGAAUCGAUCCAAACAACCACCAAGGAUCGAUCAAGGAGGCUGCUCUGAGUUCCCCAAGCCCAGCUAGAAGCCCCGCCGACGUCGGAGCUGCGUUUUCCGGUUGGGUCGAAAAACCUCCAACUGCACCGCCUUUCACCGCCGCCACCACCGAGAAUCGGCGCUAGAGGACACCACAGGGUCCGCGCACGGAGGUGAGGCGAACUAAUCUGAGCUCGUCUGGUGGUCUGCCGUCGCCGGAGCUCGCCGGAAAAUCCAGGUCGGAUCACCGGGUUCGGGUCGGGUCGAGCGCGGGUGAUGAGAGAGAACGAAGGAUUUUUCUGAGUUUCCGGAAAUGGAUACUUACCAAAAUGGAAAUAGUAAUUUUCCCGAAACGGAAACCCCUAUAUAUAGUAACUUUCCAAAAUCUUAAAAUACUCAUAACUUUCUUAUACAAACUCCGAUUUCCGCGUUCCACAUGUCCCCGAAAUCGUAUUGACGCGCUCUACAACUUUUGUGAAGGAAGUUUUCAGAGAAUCUCAACGUAUCAAAAGUCAACCUUUGCAACCUCCCUAAAGUCAUACUUUUCGAAUAAAAAUUCGUCCGAAACACCUCCGCUCCGUCCACGAGCCACGAAACCGUCCAACAAUCACAAUUUAAAUUCCGGAAAAUCCUCGGAAAAUAAAUACGAAUUUCCGGGGCAUCACAAAUUCAACCUAACUACUUUGAUAAAAUUCAUUUGUUUGAAGAUAUUUACUCUUUAGAUAUGUAGCAUAUAUUUGUGAUAUGUACCUUACAUUUAUUUUCUUAUUUUGGAAACCUGCCGAGGAUAAUGUUGAGAAGAAGAAGAAAAGGAAAGAAAUAGGGGAGGAGAGGCAGCAACCAAUACACCCAAGCGGAUACUGAUCAAGUGCGAAAUGAGUGGGGGAAGUUUGUUGUCAACACAUAUGUGCAUGAGCCAUGAAGUAGCACGUUUGUUACUGGUCCAUUUUUGCUAAGGAAAGCAUCUUUUUUUUGUGCUUCUCUGCUGGUACAUUGUCAUGCACCAUGUGUUGCAUGUUUUAGAACAAUGGAUAUAUAUGUAUCAGCUUGAUGUCUCAAGUAGAUGGGCAUGCACUAGAAUGCUUUUCUUUUUUAAAAUGUUGGGUUCAAUGAUUAGUGGUUUGCAAUGUUUAUAUUUGGUAUGUAAAUGGAUCAAAUGCACAA
RNA transcript from Rosa rugosa (rugosa rose), 4834 nucleotides. RefSeq lists it as uncharacterized. The transcript has 7 exons. Lineage: Eukaryota; Viridiplantae; Streptophyta; Magnoliopsida; Rosales; Rosaceae. The record is from RefSeq and is a predicted model, not a curated record.